Molecule: long non-coding RNA, 8055 nt
Filed under: Durio zibethinus
Lineage: Eukaryota; Viridiplantae; Streptophyta; Magnoliopsida; Malvales; Malvaceae
Description: long non-coding RNA (DZIB_LNC002270)
Source: RNAcentral
CUCUUCUUUUGAAACUUCAUUCGGUAUAAUUUCAUUUCCUUCAUUUGUUUUCUCACAUUGAUUUUCUUCACCCACUGUCUCAUCUCUUGCUUUGACAAGUUUCUCUUUGAUUGCAGCAUCUUCUGUUUCAGUGAGUAAUUCAAUGUCAAAAGCCCUUUCAUGUGUCUCCUUGUUGAAAUUCUGGGCCUCCUCAAUCUCUCUUGUUUGUUCUGGAAUCGUCUCUGGACUCUCAUCUUCUUGCAAUUCUGUUUCCUUGGUUUCAUCUCCUUGGACCUCAGAAGGCAAUUUAGAGGUUGUAAUAUGAAGGUGAUCUUCUGGCUUCUCUCCUGGGAGAGUAUGAGCAGCAGUUGCUCUAUCUUCUAAGGCACCUUGAAGCUCUCCUGCAUAUUCUGAUUGUGGGGUUUUGUCAUCUUCCAGUAUUUCUGCUUCUUUUAUUCUCUUUUCUUCUCUUACAGUUCCAUGCUCCCGUGAUUCCUCUGCUAUAACCUGACUAGGAUUAGUUUCACCUUCCAACACAUCUCGGGGCUCCUUUAAUUCAUUUUUUUCUGAGCAUAUCUCUUGUACUGUCUUUCCUACAUCAGAGUCUCCAUUUCGCAUCUCUUCUUCCUUUAAUUUCUCCUCUUCAGUCUUGUCAACUCCAUUGAUGGUUUCAUGCUUAUGCUCCUCUGAUGGCAAUAUAACAACAGGAUUUGGAAUUUGCUCCUCUGGUUUCUCUGUUGGGAUAAUCUGAGCAGAAGUGUUGUCAACUACUGCAAGAGCUUCAUCCUCCUGAAGCUGUUCCUUUUGCAAGGAUGCAUUUUCUCCAUUAGCAUCUUGUAAGAAUUCUGCUUCCUCUGUUUUGUCACUUUCUAUCUUCUCAGCUGUACUUGUACUUCCACAUUUCUCUUCCGUUGAAGGCAGUGGAGAGGAUGGAUUCUGAACUUGUUCUUCUGAUUUCUUUUCAGGGAGAGUGUGACCAGCAGUCAGUUCAUCUUCUACAACAGCUCCUGACUUAACGGACCUUUCCUUUUGUGAGCAUAUCUCUACUGUUGUCCUUGCAUCUGAAGCUUCUUCUUCAAUCUUGUCUUUUAUGAUUUCCCCUUUGUUUGUUUUCUCAUCUUCUGUCUUCUUAGUUUCAUGCUCUAGUUCUUCACUAGUUGUAGCAGAGGUUGAAAUAUGAAGUGGCUCUUCUGAGAAAGUCUGACCUGAUGUAAUUUCUUCUUUUGGAACUGCAGGAGGCUCAUUUGGCUCUUCUUUUUGCAAGCAUAUCUCUUCUGUUUCUCUAGCUGACGAAUCUUCACAAUUCUCAUCUUCAAGCUUUUCUGCUUCUUUCCUUUUCUCUUCUUCUUGCUUCUCAACAGUGCCUAUUGCUUCAAUCUCCAAUGAUUCCUCUAUUAUUGAAGCCUGAGCAACAAUAGUUUCUUGAUCCACAACAGCUUCAGGCUCCUGAAGUCCUCCCUUUUCUAAGCAUGUUUCUUUUCCUAGCAAUACCACUUCCUUCACUUUUUCUUCUUCUUCUUCCUCGUUGGCAGUAGUUCCAUGCUCUAUGUUCUCAGCAGGCAAUGCUGAAGUCAAAGAUAGCUCAUUUGGUUCCUCCACUUGGAGAGCUUGAGCAGUAGCUAUUUCGUCUUUCUUAGCAUCUUCAAGCUCCUGAAACUCUUCUUUUUCCAAGCAUAUUUUUGCUGUUUUCUUUGCAUCCGAAGAAUCUUCUGAAAUCUUAUCUUGAAUGUCUGCUUCAUUUGUUUUCUCUUCUUCCGUCUUCUCAACAGUGCUUAUGUUUUCCUCCUCCUUCUCCUUGGAAACCAAUGGAGAGCUUGUGGUCCCUUGCUCUGGUUUAUUAGCUGGAAGAGUCUGCUCACCAGUUAUUUCAUGUCCUGGAACAACAUCUUGCUCUGUGAGUACUUCUUCCUUUUUUUUGCCAUAUUCUAUCUCCUCACUUAUGGCUCCAGUUCCAUGCUCCCUUUCCUCAGAAGGCAAUGUAGAAGAUGUAGUUUGAAUUUGCUCCUCUGGUUCAUCAUUUUGGAGACCCUGGUCAGCAAUAGUUUCUUCUUUUGAGACCGCCUUAGCCUCUUUUUUUUCUUCAUUUGGCGAGCAUACCUCUUCUAUUGUCUUUGUGUCAGAAGAAUCUUCUAGACUCCCAUGUUUUAUUUCAGCAUCCUUCUGUAUCUCUUCUUCAAUCUUCUCAAUUGGGUGUGCAGUUCUGACCUCUUCAUCCUCAGAAGGCAAUCUGUCAGCAGAAGUUUGGAGUUGCUCCUCCAGUUUCUCUUCUGGAAGAGUUUUAGGGGAACUAGUAUUAUCUUUCACUAUGGUUUCUUCUUUCUUAGCAUCUUCAGCAAUUGUUUCUUGCUCCACAACAGCUUUUAGCUCCUUGUUUUCUUCCUUUUCCAAGCAUAUCUCACCUCCUUUCUUUGUAUCAGAAGAAUCUUUAUCUAGAGUUUCCACUUCCUUCAGUUCCUUUUCUUCUACUACGUCAACUUGAGUUGUAACUCCAUGCUCUCCUUCCGCUGAAGGCAAUUUGGAUGAUGGAGCUGGAGAUUGCUCCUCUGGUUUCUCCUCCAAUCGAAGAAUUUGAGAAGCAUUAGUUUCAUCUUUUGCUUCUCUCUCCUUAAUCUUGUCUUGAGUCACUUGCAAAGUUUCCUUUAUGGAGCUUUCAACAUGGUCAGAUGAUGAUACCUUAGUUGAAUCUUCCACUGAUGUAGACUGCUUGGUUAUUUCUUCACCUGAGUUAUCUGUUGUUUUUUCUCUGCCAUGUUCAACUACUUCUGGAUAAAUCUCUUUGACAUCUCCAACUUCAGCCUUCUGUGAGGAUUCUGCAACUCUGUCCUGUAAAUCUACUGGAACAUGUUCCUUGGCAAUUGAACUUGUUAUCUCUGUGUUCUCAAUGGGAUCUAAUUCCCUUGGAAUCUGCUGAUCAGAUGCUAUAUUAGUUGUUUCCUCUGGCUGCUGAAUAUCAUCAAUUAUUUGAUUGCCUUCUGCCACUGAUAAUUCUGUGCUUGAUCCCUGAUAAAAGAUGAAACAAAGAGUUGCUUAGUAUGAUUAAUUUCUAUCACUUAUUUUCUUACUUUAUGACGUUUAGGCUUCAUUUGUGGCUCCUAGAAUGAUUGAGGAACUUGAUUAAUAGAAUUUAAAAUAAUAACAGAAAAAAAAGAAUAAUUCUAGCUUCAAGAAUUUUGCUUGCCUUUUCUCCUAUAUAAGAUCUAAGUUAUUCUACUGCAGUCUUUUUCUCUCAUAAUAUUUUGAUUUCAUAAGGUUAUUCAAUGAGCUAAUCAUGUUUUAUACUAAAACCUGGAAUCUCUUUCAUCAUUUGAACAGAUUCAUGAAAUCAACAAGACUGUUGCUAUUACUAUUAUAGUUACAUUUGCAUAAAAUAUUAUUCAAUGCAAAGUUUGAAAGGAGGAUUAAAUGUAGUCUGACCUGUUCUGUUACUGUUGUGGUUUCAAUCCUGGCAACUGAACCUUGGCCUGGAUCCUCAACAGUUUUAUCUUCUAUCUGCUUUUCAAUGAUCUUAUUUUCACUGGUCUUUUGAGCUUCCACGAUGAACUGUUAUAGAUUAAAGCUUCAAUAUAGAUAUAGGAAAGCAAGAAACGAUUAAGAUGAACAAAGUUUAGUUUCUGUUUCCUGACCUCUUCAGAUGUCUUGUCUUCGAUCAGCUUCUCCCUUUGCUCAUCUUCUCCAGAGCCAUCUUUUGUCAUCUCUUCCGAAUGGGAAGUUGAAUAUGAUGUUUCAGUAACUUCCUUGUCCUCCAUGACCUGUCAUUUUUGCUUCUCAUUUAAUACUUAAUAGUUAUUGUGAUAAUAAAUUUUAAAAGCAAGACAAUAAUAGAAACGAGAAUGAAUGGGAAAUACAUGAAAUUAUUAAGGUGUUGAGCUAGUAUUGCUUACCUCUUCCUUUGAAACUUCAUUCGGUAUGAUUUCAUUUCCUUCAUUUGUUUUCUCGCACUGAUUUUCUUCACCCACUGUCUCAUCUCUUGCUCUGACAGGUUUCUCUUUGAUUGCAGCAUCUUCUGUUUCAUUGAGCAAUUCAUUGUCAAAAGCCCUUUCAUGUGUCUCCGUGUUGAAAUUCUGGGCUUCCUCAGUCUCUCUUGUUUGUUCUGGAAUCUUCUCUGGACUCUCAUCUUCUUGCAAUUCUGUUUCCUUCGAUUCAUCUCCUUGGACCUCAGAAGGCAAUGUAGAGGUUGUAAUAUGAAGGUGAUCCUCUGGCUUCUCAACUGGCAGAGUAAAAGCAGCAGUUGCUCCAUCUUCUAAGGCACCUUGAAGCUCUCUUGUGCAUUCUGAUUGUUGGGUUUUGUCAUCUUCCUUUGUUUCUGCUUCUUUUAUUUUCUCUUCUUCUCUUACAGUUCCAUGCUCCUGUGAUUCCUCUGCUACAACCUGACUAGGAUUAGUUUCACCUUCCAACAUAUCUCGGGGCUCCUUUGAUUCAAUUUUUUCUGAGCUUAUCUCUUGUACUGCCGUUACUCCAUCAGAGUCUCCAUUUUGCAUCUCUUCUUCCUUUACUUUCUCCUCUUCAGUCGAUGGCAAUGUGACAACAGGAUUUGAAAUUUGCUCCUCUGGUUUCUCUGUUGGGAUGGUCUGAGCAGAAGCAUUGUCUACUACUGCAAGAGUUUCAUCCUCCUGAAGCCGUUCCUUUUGCAAGGAUGCAUCUUCUCCAUUAUCUGUAAGAAUUCUGCUUCCUCUGUUUGGUCACUUUUUAUCUUCUCAGCUGUACUUGUACUUCCACAUUCCUCUUCCUUUGAAGGCAGUGCAGAGGUUGGAUUCUGAGCCUGUUCUGAUGAUUUCUUUUCAGUGAGAGUGUGACCAACAGUCAGUUCAUCUUCUGCAACAGCUUCUAGCUCAACGGACCUUUCCUUUUGUGAGCAUAUCUCUACUGUUGUCGUUUCAUCUGAAGCUUCUUCAAUCUUGUCUUUUAUGAUUUCCCCUUCGUUUGUUUUCUCAUCUUCUGUCUUCUUAGUUUCAUGCUUUCGUUCUUCACUAGUUAUAGCAGAGGUUGAAAUAUGAAGUUGCUCUCCUGAGAAAGUCUGAUCAGAUGUGAUUUCUUCUUUUGGAACUGCAUGAGGCUCAUUUGGCUCUUCUUUUUGCAAGCAUAUCUCUUCUGUUUCUCUACCUGACGAAUCUUCACAAUUCUCAUUUUCAAGCUUUUCUGCUUCUUUCCUUUUCUCUUCUUCUAGCUUCUUAACAGUGCCUAUUGUUUCAAUCUCCAGUGAUUCCUCUGUUAUUGAAGCCUGAGCAGUUUCCUGAUCCACAACAGCUUCAGGCUCCUGAGGUCCUUCCUUUUCUAAGCAUGUUUCUUUUUCUAGCAAUACAACUUCUUUCACUUUUUUCUUCUUCCUCAUUGGCUGUAGUUCCAUGCUCUAUGUUCUCAUCUGGCAUUGCUGAAGUCAAAGAUUGCUCAUUUGGUUCCUCCACUUGGAGAGCUUGAGCUGUAGCUAUUUCAUCUUUCUUAGCAUCUUCAUGCUCCCGAACCUCUUCUUUUUCCAAGCACAUCUUUGAUGUUUUCUUUGCAUCAGAAGAAUCUUCUGAAAUCUUAUCUGGAAUGUCUGCUUCAUCUAUUUUCUCUUCUUCUGUCUUCUCAACCGUGCUUAUGUUUUCUUCCUCCUUUUCCUUGGAAACCAUUGGAGAGCUUGUAGUCCCCUCGUCCGGUUUAUUAGCUGAAAGAGUCUGCUUCCCAGGUAUUUCAUCUCCUCGAACAACAUCUAGCUUUGUGGGUACUUCUUCCUUUGUUUUGCCAUAUUCUAUCUCCUCACUUAUGGCUCCAGUUCCCUGCUCCCUUUCCUCAGAAGGCAAUGUAGAAGAUGUAGUUUGAAUUUGCUCCUCUGGUUCAUCGUUCUGAAGACCCUGGUCAAGCAAUAGUUUCUCCUUCUGAGACUGCUUUAGCCUCUCUUUGUUCUUCAUUUGGCACGCAUACCUCUUCAAUUGUCUUUGUGUCAGAAGAAUCCUCUAGACUCUCAUGUUUUAUUUCAGCAUCCUUCUGUAUCUCUUCUUCAAUCUUCUCAAUUGGGUGUGCAGUUCUGACCUCUUCAUCCUCAGAAGGCAAUGUGUCGGCAGAAGUUUGAAGUUGCUCCUCCAGCUUCUCUUCCGGAAGAGUUUUAGGGGAACCAAUAUUAUCUUUCACUAUAGUUUCUUCUUUCUUAGCAUCUUCAGCAAUUGUUUCUUGCCCCCCAACAGCUUUUAGCUCCUUGUUUUCUUCCUUUUCCAAGCAUGUCUCACCUCCUUUCUUUGUAUUAGAAGAAUCUUUAUCUAGAGUUUCCACUUCCUUCAGUUCCUUUUCUUCUGCUAAAUCGACUUGAGUUGUAACUCCAUGCUCUCCUUCUGUGGAAGGCACUUUGGAUGAUGGAGCUGGAGAUUGCUCCUUUGGUUUCUCCUCCACUAGAAGAAUUUGAGAAGCAUUAGUUUCAUCUUUUGCUUCUCUGUCCUCUAGAAUCUCUUGAGUCACUGGCAAAGCUCCCUUUGUGGAGCUUUCAACGUGGUCAGAUGAUGAUAUCUUAGUCAAAUCUUCCACUGAUGUAGACUCCUCGGUUAUAUCUUCACCUGAAUUAUCUGCUGUUUUUUCUCCAUCAUCUUCAACUUCUUCUGGAUAAAUCUCUUUGACAUCUCCAACUUCAGCCUUCUGUGAGGAUUCUGCAACUCUGUCCUGCAAAUCUAUUGGAACAUGGUCCUUGGCAAUUGAACUUGUUAUCUCUGUGUUCCCAGUGGGAUCUAGUUCCCUUGGAAUCUGCUCAUCAGAUGCUAUAUUAGUUGUUUCCUCUAGCUGCUGAAUAUCAUCAAAUAUUGGAUUGCCUUCUGCAGCUGAUAAUUCUAUGCUUGAUACCUGAUAAAAGAUGAAACAUAGAGGUGCUCAGUAUGAUUAAUUUCUAUCAAUUAUUUUCCUUACUUUAUGAUGUUUAGACUUCAUUUGUGGCUCCUAGAAUGAUUGAGAGACCUGACAAAUAGAAAUUUAAAAUAAUAACCAAAAAACAAAAGGAAUAAUCCUGGCUUCAAGAAAUUUGCUUGCCUGUUCUCCUAUAUAAGAUCUAAGUUAUUCUACUGCUCUCUCUUUAUCUCACAUAUUAUAUUUUGAUUUCUUAAGGUCCUUCAAAGAGCUAACCAUGUUUUAUUCUAAAACCUCGAAUCUCUUUCGUCAUUUGACAGAUUAAUGAAAUCAACAAGACUUGCAGUUCCUGUUACAGUUACAUUUGCAUGAAAUAUUAUGCAAUGCAAAGUUUGAAAGGAGGAUUCAAUGUAGUCUGACCUGUUGUGUCACUGUUGUGGUUUCAAUCCCCGCAACCGAGGCUUGGCCUGGAUCGUCAACAGUUUUAUCUUUGAUCUUCGUUUCAAUUAUCUCAUCUUCACUGGCCUUUUGAGCUUCCGCUUUUUGCUGUUAUAAAUUAAAGCUUCAAUGUAGAUAUAGAAAAUCAAGAAACGAAUAAGAUGAACAAAAUUUAGUUUCUUUUUCCUGACCUCUUCAUAUGUCUCGUCUUCAAUCAGUUUAUCCUUUAGCUCAUCUUUUCCAGAGCCAUCUUUCGUCAGCUCUUCUGAAUGGGACGUUGAAUAAGAUGUUUCAGUAACUUCCUUGUCUUCCAUGACCUGUCAUUUUGCCCACUUAGUUAAUAAAAUUUUACAAGCAAGAGAAUAAUAGAAACGAGAAUGAAUAGGAAAUACACGAAAUUAUUAAGGUUUGGAGCUAGUGUUGCUUACCUCUUCUUUUACAACUUCAUUCUGUAAGAUGUCAUUUCCUUCAUUUGUUUUCUCACACUGAUUUUCUUCACCCCCUAUCUCAUCUGUUGCUUUGACAAUUUUCUCGUUAAUUGCAGCGUCUUCUAUUUCAGCGAGUAAUUCAUUGUCAAAAGCCCUUUCAUGUGUCUCUCCGUUGAAAUUUGGGGCUUCCUCAAUCUCUCUUGUUUGUUCUGGAAUCUUCUCUGGACUCUCAGCUUCUUGCAAUUCUGUUUCCUUGGUUUCAUCUCCUUGGACCUCAGAAGGCAAUGUAGAGGUUGUAAUAUGAAGGUGAUCUUCUGGCUUCUCACCUGGCAGAGUAAAAGCAGCAGUUGCUCCAUCUUCUAAGGCACCUUGAAGCUCUCUUGUGCAUUCUGAUUGUUGGGUUUUG